GUAAGAGCUCCAAUUCUUUACAUAUGUGUUUCAAUCCGUGUUUCGCAUCCACAAAGCAAACUAAUGUAUUACAUAGAUUGAACUUGUUUGUGUUUCAAUCUGUGUUUUGCAUCCACAAAGCAAACUAAUGCGUGUUUCAAUCUGUGUUUUACAGAGAUUGAACUUGUUUCUUAUCUUAAUGUGUGUUGGAAUUGAAGAAUUCUUUACAUAGAUUGAACUUGUGUGAGUGUGUAUAUCUAUGUCUAUCUAAUGCGUGUUGGAGACGAAGAAUUGGGGAUGCGGUGCAUAUUCCAGGGGGUGUAUGUCUAAUUCACCCUAUUAUUAGGCAAUACUGAUUGGUUCUUAGUUGGAAGAAUAUUAGACAUGUAUAUAAUGAAUAAUAUAUAUGACAUUUGUUUUAUUUACUUACUCUACUAGUCUCUACUGCAAAACUGUCCUAGCAUAAAUAUUGUCAAAACUGUUUAGCAACAAAAUGGAAGAUGAUUUUAUUGAAACGGCAAAACAGAAAAGACAUAUAGGUCCUGUGUAUCAUAAGUUAUGCAUUAUCGUUCACCAGUUCUCAUUUUGUGAUUCAUGUCUUGAAUUUUGAACUUAGGUUCGACUUGGUAUACGUAUGUGGUCCUAUGUACGGGAAGAGGCUUCCCAUGGAAGGACAGAACCAAUUAAUCCUUUCAAUCAAGAGAGUUGCAAGCCAUCAGCAUCCCAAGGUGUCCCACUUGGAGGAAUGGGGAGUGGCAGCAUAUCAAGAGGUUUUAGAGGAGAGUUCAGGCAUUGGCAAAUUAUUCCUGGUACAUGUGACACUUCUAUCAUGGCCAAUCAUAGUCAAUGAAAUGGGAGUAGGUGGAGAUGUUCAUUGGUGUAAACUAAUCAUGAGGGGGAAAUUAAAGUUAAAAAUUGGUUGCUUCUGUUUUAAAAAAUGAUUAAUCAAAUCAGUUUGGACUUACUCAUUCAUUAUGAGAAAGCUGUUUGAUUAGACCAUUAUCAAAAUUGCACAACCCACACAAAUCUUUCACUGAACUUCUAGUCUUGUUUUUCUGCUUUAUCAGUUUUCCUCCAGAUGUCCUGAAAUUCAGUUGUUUCCAAGUAGUACCUCUUGGCAAGGCUCUGUUUUGGUUUAGCUUUGUGCAAUAAAAAUGUUAGUUAUUCUGCUUUAAUUUCUAAGGAGUAUCUCAUCCCCCUCUUGAUAACUUAUAGACCUUUAGUCCCCAGCUAUUAUCUUGGUGUUGUCUUAGUGUGAUUCUGUUUAACUAUAAAAUAUUUAUGCUUUGGUUUCUUUGUUUUUCCACAGGAUAUGGUUGUUCUUCCUUACAAGGAUAGCCUAUUAUUAUUUAGUAGGUAUUUAAAACAGUUGGUCAUGGAAUCACUUAGGAAGGAGUUUGACCUAGAUAGUAAUCGGGUAUGUCGAACCAUCUCUACCAACUCUUCUUGUUUGAACACGGAACAAAUUUGAUGUCCUAAAAUAUCAUUAUCUAUUUAAUUGGCAUUAAUAUUGUUUACCAUUGAAGCAUUUUGAUUUUGUGACACCUCUAGCAACUAAAAAAAAGGUGUGAUGUGAGACUAAGGCUACGCAUUUUAGAUGGCCAUAUAUUUUUGUCACACUAUAGAGUGUCAACUUGGCAGUGGUUUAGGAGGAAACAACUGAAUGGAGUAGAAUUUUCUUUGAGGAAAUAUUCCUUUUAUCUUUCUUUGGAGGCAAUUUUUAAAUAUUUUGGUUUUUAAGAAGGACUCUUAUAACAUGUUAGCAUUGUUGCAUCUAGUUAGGCAGAUGGCAUGUAAAUUGUAAUAACAAAUUUUCUAGCAACUUUGUACUUCAUGUCUUUUUCUUAGCUCUGUCCAAAAUUUUCAUCUAAAUAGCAAUUUUCUUCAAUUUCACCCUCACUAGAAAGAAAAAUUGGAUGAUUUAGUAUCUAUUAGAAAUCUUGUUUCUUAUUUUCAUAUUCUAUUCCCCAUCCAUCAAUAAGGAGUUGGAAACAUUGGAUUUUGAUUUCCUAAUUGUUAAAAUGGCAUUUGAUCCUGCAUUUCCAAUGUGUGGACAUUUUGAUGCAAAUGGAUGGUGCACCUUUAUCCAUUAACCGAGUUCUAUUACCUACAUAUAAUGAUUUAAGAUAUGACUAUCCCUAUCCACAAUAGACAAGAUACAUCUCCUGUUAUAUACGCCUUUAAUUUAUGUCAAUGCUCAAUAGCCCCUUUGGUAAUCAUGCUAGAAAAAUUUACUUUGUUUUUCUUUGGAAUUUGAAGUUAUCAACUAGCUAUUAAAGCUUCAACAGUUAAUCGAGCAUGAUAUUUAAAAUACCAUGUCUAGCCUAGGCAAGGACGUGUUGGUUGCCCAAGGCCCUGCUUUUACUAUGUGUCGAUGUUUAUUUUGAUAACUUAUGCUAGCCUUUUUUUUCCUUUUUUUCUCUUUUUCUUUUUUCUUGACCUCAAUAGGUGAAUCAGGGACUUACUGUUUAUGGAAAUAAAGGGAGCACGGAUCAGCAUACGUGAGCUUUUAUUCUCAUGUAGUACCUUAUAUCAUAUAUCUGUAGAUGUAGACCAUAUUUAAACCUUCCAUUUCUUUUCUAUAGCUACAUCCAACAACUAAGGGAGGGCUUGCACAACUUCUUUGUGACUUUCAUUGAAGCCCUGCAUGAUAGACCCCCUGGCCAUGAUUGGGAGCUUGAACCAGGGAUCACAUGGGGUGACUACCUGUUUGGUAUGUUACAAGUUAGUUUUCUGAUCCAUCUAUUAGUUUGAUAUAUCAAGACUGGUUAUGUGCUGAUCUAUUUUGUUUUUGUAUAGAUCUGA
Long non-coding RNA from Camellia sinensis, 2784 nucleotides. RefSeq lists it as uncharacterized. The record is from RefSeq and is a predicted model, not a curated record. NCBI's taxonomy places the organism in Eukaryota, Viridiplantae, Streptophyta, Magnoliopsida, Ericales, Theaceae.